Molecule: ribosomal RNA, 254 nt
Filed under: uncultured bacterium
Lineage: Bacteria
Description: partial 16S ribosomal RNA
Rfam family: Bacterial small subunit ribosomal RNA
Source: RNAcentral
UACGAAGGGGGCUAGCGUUGCUCGGAAUCACUGGGCGUAAAGCGCACGUAGGCGGCUUGUUAAGUCAGGGGUGAAAUCCUGGAGCUCAACUCCAGAACUGCCUUUGAUACUGAAGAUCUUGAGUUCGGGAGAGGUGAGUGGAACUGCGAGUGUAGAGGUGAAAUUCGUAGAUAUUCGCAAGAACACCAGUGGCGAAGGCGGCUCACUGGCCCGAUACUGACGCUGAGGCACGAAAGCGUGGGGAGCAAACAGGG